ACGGAAGGCAGCAGUGAGGGAUAUUGGUCAAUGGGCGGGAGCCUGAACCAGCCAAGUAGCGUGGAGGAUGACGGCCCUACGGGUUGUAAACUCCUUUUGCCGGGGGAUAAAAAACGGGACGCGUCCCGUCUUGCAGGUACCCGUGCGAAUAAGGACCGGCUAAUUCCGUGCCAGCAGCCGCGGUAAUACGGAGGAUCCGAGCGUUAUCCGGAUUUAUUGGGUUUAAAGGGAGCGUAGGCGGGAUGUCAAGUCAGCUGUGAAAUGUAGUCGCUCAACGUCUGCACUGCAGUUGAAACUGGUGUUCUUGAGUGCGUAAGAGGCAGGUGGAAUUCGUCGUGUAGCGGUGAAAUGCAUAGAUAUGACGAAGAACUCCGAUUGCGAAGGCAGCCUGCUGGGCCGCUACUGACGCUGAAGCUCGAAGGUGCGGGUAUCAAACAGGAUUAGAUACCCUGGUA
RNAcentral lists this ribosomal RNA (455 nucleotides) under uncultured Prevotella sp. RNAcentral describes it as "partial 16S ribosomal RNA". It matches the Rfam family "Bacterial small subunit ribosomal RNA", at positions 341 to 792 of the family's 1533-position model. Lineage: Bacteria; Pseudomonadati; Bacteroidota; Bacteroidia; Bacteroidales; Prevotellaceae. The record is from RNAcentral.